AAAAGAUAGAAUUCCCAAAUUUAGAAGGUUAUCUUUUUGGCAUGUAUCUCGGACGGCGAAUGAAGCGGUACAUGCAGUAGAAGUGAGAGGACACCGUAUGACUCUCUAAUUUACUGGACGGAAAAAGUCUCAACAAAAGUGGAGCAUCUCAUCACAAGUGAUAGGAGGAUAUUUCAAAAAGGAUAGCCAAAUGAUGAUUUUUUUGAGUUCGAAGGAAGUACUAGUGGUUAUCUCCGAGGAGCUUAGUGGUCUGAGGGGCUGGGCAAGAGCGAGAAGGCAUCAAUGAAGAUUUUGAGGGAAGCUAAUUUCUUAGGAGGCUUUCUCAGAUGCAAGAAAGAGGUAAGGUUUUCAAGAGAAGAUUAAAGGGUCUUUUUAGGAUUUUUUUUUCGUUUUGCUUUAAGUUUUAGUCUGUAACUAUGUGCUUAAUUGUUAAGAUUUGCAUUAAUUGUUUUUGGCGCUUAGAAUUACCUAAGGUACCACCCAAUUUAGCCAUUAAUUGUGGGGCAGUUGUAAGGACGCUGGCAAGCCAA
RNAcentral lists this long non-coding RNA (530 nucleotides) under Gossypium barbadense (sea-island cotton). RNAcentral's name for it is "long non-coding RNA (GBAR_LNC004990)". The record is from RNAcentral. Lineage: Eukaryota; Viridiplantae; Streptophyta; Magnoliopsida; Malvales; Malvaceae.